Molecule: ribosomal RNA, 482 nt
Filed under: uncultured bacterium
Lineage: Bacteria
Description: partial 16S ribosomal RNA
Rfam family: Bacterial small subunit ribosomal RNA
Source: RNAcentral
AUUGAACGCUGGCGGCAUGCCUUACACAUGCAAGUCGAACGGUAACAGGUCUUCGGAUGCUGACGAGUGGCGAACGGGUGCGUAAUACAUCGGAACGUGCCCGAUCGUGGGGGAUAACGAGGCGAAAGCUUUGCUAAUACCGCAUACGAUCUACGGAUGAAAGCGGGGGAUCUUCGGACCUCGCGCGGGCGGAGCGGCCGAUGGCAGAUUAGGUAGUUGGUGGGAUAAAAGCUUACCAAGCCGACGAUCUGUAGCUGGUCUGAGAGGAUGAUCAGCCACACUGGGACUGAGACACGGCCCAGACUCCUACGGGAGGCAGCAGUGGGGAAUUUUGGACAAUGGGCGAAAGCCUGAUCCAGCCAUGCCGCGUGCAGGAUGAAGGCCUUCGGGUUGUAAACUGCUUUUGUACGGAACGAAAAGCCUCUUUCUAAUAAAGAGGGGUCAUGACGGUACCGUAAGAAUAAGCACCGGCUAACUACGUG